Molecule: ribosomal RNA, 2911 nt
Filed under: Escherichia coli
Lineage: Bacteria; Pseudomonadati; Pseudomonadota; Gammaproteobacteria; Enterobacterales; Enterobacteriaceae
Description: bacterial LSU rRNA
Rfam family: Bacterial large subunit ribosomal RNA
Source: RNAcentral
GGGUUGUGAGGUUAAGCGACUAAGCGUACACGGUGGAUGCCCUGGCAGUCAGAGGCGAUGAAGGACGUGCUAAUCUGCGAUAAGCGUCGGUAAGGUGAUAUGAACCGUUAUAACCGGCGAUUUCCGAAUGGGGAAACCCAGUGUGUUUCGACACACUAUCAUUAACUGAAUCCAUAGGUUAAUGAGGCGAACCGGGGGAACUGAAACAUCUAAGUACCCCGAGGAAAAGAAAUCAACCGAGAUUCCCCCAGUAGCGGCGAGCGAACGGGGAGCAGCCCAGAGCCUGAAUCAGUGUGUGUGUUAGUGGAAGCGUCUGGAAAGGCGCGCGAUACAGGGUGACAGCCCCGUACACAAAAAUGCACAUGCUGUGAGCUCGAUGAGUAGGGCGGGACACGUGGUAUCCUGUCUGAAUAUGGGGGGACCAUCCUCCAAGGCUAAAUACUCCUGACUGACCGAUAGUGAACCAGUACCGUGAGGGAAAGGCGAAAAGAACCCCGGCGAGGGGAGUGAAAAAGAACCUGAAACCGUGUACGUACAAGCAGUGGGAGCACGCUUAGGCGUGUGACUGCGUACCUUUUGUAUAAUGGGUCAGCGACUUAUAUUCUGUAGCAAGGUUAACCGAAUAGGGGAGCCGAAGGGAAACCGAGUCUUAACUGGGCGUUAAGUUGCAGGGUAUAGACCCGAAACCCGGUGAUCUAGCCAUGGGCAGGUUGAAGGUUGGGUAACACUAACUGGAGGACCGAACCGACUAAUGUUGAAAAAUUAGCGGAUGACUUGUGGCUGGGGGUGAAAGGCCAAUCAAACCGGGAGAUAGCUGGUUCUCCCCGAAAGCUAUUUAGGUAGCGCCUCGUGAAUUCAUCUCCGGGGGUAGAGCACUGUUUCGGCAAGGGGGUCAUCCCGACUUACCAACCCGAUGCAAACUGCGAAUACCGGAGAAUGUUAUCACGGGAGACACACGGCGGGUGCUAACGUCCGUCGUGAAGAGGGAAACAACCCAGACCGCCAGCUAAGGUCCCAAAGUCAUGGUUAAGUGGGAAACGAUGUGGGAAGGCCCAGACAGCCAGGAUGUUGGCUUAGAAGCAGCCAUCAUUUAAAGAAAGCGUAAUAGCUCACUGGUCGAGUCGGCCUGCGCGGAAGAUGUAACGGGGCUAAACCAUGCACCGAAGCUGCGGCAGCGACGCUGAUGCGUUGUUGGGUAGGGGAGCGUUCUGUAAGCCUGCGAAGGUGUGCUGUGAGGCAUGCUGGAGGUAUCAGAAGUGCGAAUGCUGACAUAAGUAACGAUAAAGCGGGUGAAAAGCCCGCUCGCCGGAAGACCAAGGGUUCCUGUCCAACGUUAAUCGGGGCAGGGUGAGUCGACCCCUAAGGCGAGGCCGAAAGGCGUAGUCGAUGGGAAACAGGUUAAUAUUCCUGUACUUGGUGUUACUGCGAAGGGGGGACGGAGAAGGCUAUGUUGGCCGGGCGACGGUUGUCCCGGUUUAAGCGUGUAGGCUGGUUUUCCAGGCAAAUCCGGAAAAUCAAGGCUGAGGCGUGAUGACGAGGCACUACGGUGCUGAAGCAACAAAUGCCCUGCUUCCAGGAAAAGCCUCUAAGCAUCAGGUAACAUCAAAUCGUACCCCAAACCGACACAGGUGGUCAGGUAGAGAAUACCAAGGCGCUUGAGAGAACUCGGGUGAAGGAACUAGGCAAAAUGGUGCCGUAACUUCGGGAGAAGGCACGCUGAUAUGUAGGUGAAGUCCCUUGCGGAUGGAGCUGAAAUCAGUCGAAGAUACCAGCUGGCUGCAACUGUUUAUUAAAAACACAGCACUGUGCAAACACGAAAGUGGACGUAUACGGUGUGACGCCUGCCCGGUGCCGGAAGGUUAAUUGAUGGGGUUAGCCGCAAGGCGAAGCUCUUGAUCGAAGCCCCGGUAAACGGCGGCCGUAACUAUAACGGUCCUAAGGUAGCGAAAUUCCUUGUCGGGUAAGUUCCGACCUGCACGAAUGGCGUAAUGAUGGCCAGGCUGUCUCCACCCGAGACUCAGUGAAAUUGAACUCGCUGUGAAGAUGCAGUGUACCCGCGGCAAGACGGAAAGACCCCGUGAACCUUUACUAUAGCUUGACACUGAACAUUGAGCCUUGAUGUGUAGGAUAGGUGGGAGGCUUUGAAGUGUGGACGCCAGUCUGCAUGGAGCCGACCUUGAAAUACCACCCUUUAAUGUUUGAUGUUCUAACGUUGACCCGUAAUCCGGGUUGCGGACAGUGUCUGGUGGGUAGUUUGACUGGGGCGGUCUCCUCCUAAAGAGUAACGGAGGAGCACGAAGGUUGGCUAAUCCUGGUCGGACAUCAGGAGGUUAGUGCAAUGGCAUAAGCCAGCUUGACUGCGAGCGUGACGGCGCGAGCAGGUGCGAAAGCAGGUCAUAGUGAUCCGGUGGUUCUGAAUGGAAGGGCCAUCGCUCAACGGAUAAAAGGUACUCCGGGGAUAACAGGCUGAUACCGCCCAAGAGUUCAUAUCGACGGCGGUGUUUGGCACCUCGAUGUCGGCUCAUCACAUCCUGGGGCUGAAGUAGGUCCCAAGGGUAUGGCUGUUCGCCAUUUAAAGUGGUACGCGAGCUGGGUUUAGAACGUCGUGAGACAGUUCGGUCCCUAUCUGCCGUGGGCGCUGGAGAACUGAGGGGGGCUGCUCCUAGUACGAGAGGACCGGAGUGGACGCAUCACUGGUGUUCGGGUUGUCAUGCCAAUGGCACUGCCCGGUAGCUAAAUGCGGAAGAGAUAAGUGCUGAAAGCAUCUAAGCACGAAACUUGCCCCGAGAUGAGUUCUCCCUGACUCCUUGAGAGUCCUGAAGGAACGUUGAAGACGACGACGUUGAUAGGCCGGGUGUGUAAGCGCAGCGAUGCGUUGAGCUAACCGGUACUAAUGAACCGUGAGGCUUAA